AUACUUAGCUAGCAGGAGCCAUACCAUAAUCAUGAACGUGGUUUUCCCAGGGUGAGGCUUAUCCAUUGCACUUGCCUGUGAUCUCCCCAUUAAAAAAAAAAAAGAUUCAAGAUUUGAGGCAGAACACUGUC
This 131-nucleotide small nuclear RNA is filed under the name Rhinopithecus bieti (black snub-nosed monkey). Its description in RNAcentral is "U1 spliceosomal RNA (ENSRBIG00000023401.1)". The record is from RNAcentral. Lineage: Eukaryota; Metazoa; Chordata; Mammalia; Primates; Cercopithecidae.